Molecule: ribosomal RNA, 526 nt
Filed under: Exiguobacterium sp. CR-I-E8
Lineage: Bacteria; Bacillati; Bacillota; Bacilli; Caryophanales
Description: bacterial SSU rRNA
Rfam family: Bacterial small subunit ribosomal RNA
Source: RNAcentral
GUGAGUAACACGUAAAGAACCUGCCCAUAGGUCUGGGAUAACCACGAGAAAUCGGGGCUAAUACCGGAUGUGUCAUCGGACCGCAUGGUCCGCUGAUGAAAGGCGCUCCGGCGUCGCCCAUGGAUGGCUUUGCGGUGCAUUAGCUAGUUGGUGGGGUAAUGGCCCACCAAGGCGACGAUGCAUAGCCGACCUGAGAGGGUGAUCGGCCACACUGGGACUGAGACACGGCCCAGACUCCUACGGGAGGCAGCAGUAGGGAAUCUUCCACAAUGGACGAAAGUCUGAUGGAGCAACGCCGCGUGAACGAUGAAGGUUUUCGGAUCGUAAAGUUCUGUUGUAAGGGAAGAACAAGUGCCGCAGGCAAUGGCGGCACCUUGACGGUACCUUGCGAGAAAGCCACGGCUAACUACGUGCCAGCAGCCGCGGUAAUACGUAGGUGGCAAGCGUUGUCCGGAAUUAUUGGGCGUAAAGCGCGCGCAGGCGGCCUCUUAAGUCUGAUGUGAAAGCCCCCGGCUCAACCGGGGAG